Molecule: small nuclear RNA, 170 nt
Organism: Anneissia japonica
Lineage: Eukaryota; Metazoa; Echinodermata; Crinoidea; Comatulida; Comatulidae
Product: U1 spliceosomal RNA
Exons: 1
Source: RefSeq, a predicted model, not a curated record
AUAUUUCGACAUUAAUUAUGUCAUCAUCAGGAAUUAUGUCAGCCUCGGCAUUGCACUUGGCUGAGGUUGAGCCUUGCGAUUCCCCCAAAUGUGGGGAACUCGGGUGUAUAAUUUUAUUUUUUAUUUUUAUAAUUUAUGGUAGCGGGGGACUGCGUUCGCGCUAACCCCUA